GCUACGGCCAUACCAGCCUGGGUACGCCCGAUCUCGUCUGAUCUCGGAAGCUAAGCAGGGUCGUGCCUGGUUAGUACUUGGAUGGAGACCGCCUGGGAAAACCAGGUGCUGUAAGCA
This 117-nucleotide ribosomal RNA is filed under the name Salmo salar (Atlantic salmon). Lineage: Eukaryota; Metazoa; Chordata; Actinopteri; Salmoniformes; Salmonidae. The record is from RNAcentral.